Molecule: ribosomal RNA, 264 nt
Filed under: uncultured bacterium
Lineage: Bacteria
Description: partial 16S ribosomal RNA
Rfam family: Bacterial small subunit ribosomal RNA
Source: RNAcentral
UUUAGUGGCGGACGGGUGAGUAACACGUGAGCAACCUGCCUUCGAGAGGGGAAUAACGGCUGGAAACGGUCGCUAAUACCGCAUAACAUACCGGGAGGACAUCCUGCUGGUAUCAAAGAUUUUAUCGCUCGAAGAUGGGCUCGCGUCCGAUUAGGUAGUUGGUGAGGUAACGGCUCACCAAGCCGACGAUCGGUAGCCGGACUGAGAGGUUGAACGGCCACAUUGGGACUGAGACACGGCCCAGACUCCUACGGGAGGCAGCAG